Molecule: ribosomal RNA, 424 nt
Filed under: uncultured bacterium
Lineage: Bacteria
Description: bacterial SSU rRNA
Rfam family: Bacterial small subunit ribosomal RNA
Source: RNAcentral
UGGGGAAUUUUGGACAAUGGGGGCAACCCUGAUCCAGCGACGCCGCGUGGAGGACGAAGGUCUUCGGAUUGUAAACUCCUUUUAGAGGGGAUGAAUGCCUGCGUGAAAAACGCAGGGUGACAGUACUCUCUGAAUAAGCCACGGCUAACUACGUGCCAGCAGCCGCGGUAAUACGUAGGUGGCAAGCGUUACUCGGAAUCACUAGGCGUAAAGCGCAGGUAGGCGGUUCGGUAAGUCUCUUGUGAAAGCUCCCGGCUCAACUGGGAGAGGUCAAGGGAAACUGCCGGGCUAGAGUGUGGCAGAGGAAGCUGGAAUUCCCGGUGUAGCGGUGAAAUGCGUAGAGAUCGGGAGGAAUACCUAUGGCGAAAGCAGGCUUCUGGGCCGUCACUGACACUGAUCUGCGAAAGCUAGGGGAGCAAACAGG